RNAcentral lists this unclassified non-coding RNA (240 nucleotides) under Glomeraceae sp. Its description in RNAcentral is "partial contains 5.8S ribosomal RNA and internal transcribed spacer 2". The stretch from base 1 to 71 matches the Rfam family "5.8S ribosomal RNA", at positions 84 to 154 of the family's 154-position model. Lineage: Eukaryota; Fungi; Glomeromycota; Glomeromycetes; Glomerales; Glomeraceae. The record is from RNAcentral.
GUGAAUCAUCGAAUUUUUGAACGCAAAUUGCGCUUCCUGGCAUCCCGGGAAGUAUGCCUGUUUGAGGGUCAGUAUUAACAAAAAAUCGGUUUGGUUGCAAAUUGUGACGUUUCCGGAGUUUGGGCUAUCUUAACUUUUUUGGUUAAGGGGCUUAAAAUUGACCUUAUCUGCGCAUUUUUAGACGUACAUAAAUUUUUUUUUUUUUUCUCUAUUUAUAGUCCAAAUCUCUUUAUAUGCGCG